This 506-nucleotide ribosomal RNA is filed under the name uncultured bacterium. Its description in RNAcentral is "partial 16S ribosomal RNA". It matches the Rfam family "Bacterial small subunit ribosomal RNA", at positions 29 to 523 of the family's 1533-position model. The record is from RNAcentral.
AGUGAACGCUGGCGGUAGGCCUAACACAUGCAAGUCGAACGGCAGCACAGGAGAGCUUGCUCUCUGGGUGGCGAGUGGCGGACGGGUGAGGAAUACAUCGGAAUCUACUUUUUCGUGGGGGAUAACGUAGGGAAACUUACGCUAAUACCGCAUACGACCUACGGGUGAAAGCAGGGGAUCUUCGGAACUUGCGCGAUUGAAUGAGCCGAUGGCGGAUUAGCUAGUUGGCGGGGUAAAGGCCCACCAAGGAGACGAUCCGUAGCUGGUCUGAGAGGAUGAUCAGCCACACUGGAACUGAGACACGGUUCAGACUCCUACGGGAGGCAGCAGUGGGGAAUAUUGGACAAUGGGCGCAAGCCUGAUCCAGCCAUACCGCGUGGGUGAAGAAGGCCUUCGGGUUGUAAAGCCCUUUUGUUGGGAAAGAAAUCCAGCUGGUUAAUACCCGGUUGGGAUGACGGUACCCAAAGAAUAAGCACCGGCUAACUUCGUGCCAGCCGCCGCCGUAA